Molecule: ribosomal RNA, 353 nt
Filed under: Shigella sonnei
Lineage: Bacteria; Pseudomonadati; Pseudomonadota; Gammaproteobacteria; Enterobacterales; Enterobacteriaceae
Description: partial 23S ribosomal RNA
Rfam family: Bacterial large subunit ribosomal RNA
Source: RNAcentral
UCCUGACUGACCGAUAGUGAACCAGUACCGUGAGGGAAAGGCGAAAAGAACCCCGGCGAGGGGAGUGAAAAAGAACCUGAAACCGUGUACGUACAAGCAGUGGGAGCACGCUUAGGCGUGUGACUGCGUACCUUUUGUAUAAUGGGUCAGCGACUUAUAUUCUGUAGCAAGGUUAACCGAAUAGGGGAGCCGAAGGGAAACCGAGUCUUAACUGGGCGUUAAGUUGCAGGGUAUAGACCCGAAACCCGGUGAUCUAGCCAUGGGCAGGUUGAAGGUUGGGUAACACUAACUGGAGGACCGAACCGACUAAUGUUGAAAAAUUAGCGGAUGACUUGUGGCUGGGGGUGAAAGGC